AAUAGUGAGAAUCUUGGUAGGCCAAGCUGAAGUUCAGAAUGCAAGAAGCAUUGAAGAGAAACAGGCAUGAAAUGGUGCUUUGCAAAUAGCUGAAGGUUUUCAGGUAAAAAACAAUGUGGAAUUGCUUGCUAAAUCAAUUAAGAAACAAGAUAAAAUCAAAUCAGAAAGUAAAAAGAAGUGGGCUGAACGCAUCGAAGAACAGGAAAAGAGAAAAGAAUAACAACAGAAAA
Molecule: long non-coding RNA, 230 nt
Organism: Daphnia carinata
Lineage: Eukaryota; Metazoa; Arthropoda; Branchiopoda; Diplostraca; Daphniidae
Exons: 2
Source: RefSeq, a predicted model, not a curated record